This 349-nucleotide ribosomal RNA is filed under the name uncultured fungus. RNAcentral's name for it is "SSU rRNA". It matches the Rfam family "Eukaryotic small subunit ribosomal RNA", at positions 20 to 372 of the family's 1831-position model. The record is from RNAcentral. Lineage: Eukaryota; Fungi.
GUAGUCAUAUGCUUGUCUCAAAGAUUAAGCCAUGCAUGUCUAAGUAUAAACAAUUUAUACGGUGAAACUGCGAAUGGCUCAUUAAAUCAGUUAUCGUUUAUUUGAUAGUACCUUACUACAUGGAUACCUGUGGUAAUUCUAGAGCUAAUACAUGCUAAAAACCUCGACUUCGGAAGGGGUGUAUUUAUUAGAUAAAAAACCAAUGCCCUUCGGGGCUCCUUGGUGAAUCAUAAUAACUUAACGAAUCGCAUGGCCUUGCGCCGGCGAUGGUUCAUUCAAAUUUCUGCCCUAUCAACUUCCGAUGGUAGGAUAGUGGCCUACCAUGGUGGCAACGGGUAACGGGGAAUGA